RNAcentral lists this ribosomal RNA (253 nucleotides) under uncultured bacterium. Its description in RNAcentral is "partial 16S ribosomal RNA". It matches the Rfam family "Bacterial small subunit ribosomal RNA", at positions 524 to 776 of the family's 1533-position model. The record is from RNAcentral.
UACAGAGGGUGCGAGCGUUAAUCGGAAUUACUGGGCGUAAAGCGUGCGCAGGCGGCUUUGCAAGACAGAUGUGAAAUCCCCGGGCUUAACCUGGGAACUGCAUUUGUGACUGCAUGGCUGGAGUGCGGCAGAGGGGGAUGGAAUUCCGCGUGUAGCAGUGAAAUGCGUAGAUAUGCGGAGGAACACCGAUGGCGAAGGCAGCCCCCUGGGUUAACACUGACGCUCAGGCACGAAAGCGUGGGGAGCAAACAGG